Monodelphis domestica (gray short-tailed opossum) is the source of this 480-nucleotide long non-coding RNA. RefSeq lists it as uncharacterized. The record is from RefSeq and is a predicted model, not a curated record. NCBI's taxonomy places the organism in Eukaryota, Metazoa, Chordata, Mammalia, Didelphimorphia, Didelphidae.
CCAGGAUCCACGCAGGCGCAGUGAGGAGACCGUGGCCCUCAAAUCUAGCGCCUGCGCGAUCCCGAUGAUCGGAGAGCCGGGCCGGGGGCCGAGGCUGAAGAGGGUUCAAUUCCUGAGUUUUAGGGCACGCAGCCGGUGGCAAUGAUCCUGAACAACUUGGAGGAAUCUACAAGAAAAACCACUAUCCACAUUCAGAGGAAAAACUGUGGGAGUAGAAACACAGAAGAAAAACAACUGCUUGAAUACAUGGGUCAAGGGAACAUGGCUGGGGAUAUAGACUAAAUGAACAUCCUAGUGCAAACACCAACAACAUGGAAAUAGGUUCUGAUUAAGGACACAAGUAAUACCCAAUGAAAUUGCGCAUCAGCUGUGGGAAGGGUAUGUGGAGGGGAGGGAGGGAAAUAAUAUGAUUCUUGUAAUCAAGAAAUAAUGUUAUAAAUUGACUAAAUAAAUUAAUUUUUAAAAAAAGAAUACAAAAAA